CACACACAAGAACAGAACAGACUGGAGACCAUUAGGCUGCAAAAGAGAGCCACUGCUGGAAGAUGCUCUGCUGAAGCGGAAGCUGAUGGAAGAAGGCCUGGCUCAGGGGAAGCUUUCAGAGCACCUGUGCUUAGUGACUUUGGAGAGGAAGUUGCUCAGAGCCGUUCCUGGAUAUUGCAAGACUUUAGUUCCCGUAGCCUCUCUAGUGACCUAGAGGAAACAAACCACUGUAAUUUAAAAGUUACAGGUUACACAGAUACUUCUUGGUAGAGUUCUGGCUGCCAGUUCCCUAAAAAACAUACAAAGCCCCAAUAAAAAGACAGCCAAGCA
This 330-nucleotide long non-coding RNA is filed under the name Fukomys damarensis (Damara mole-rat). RNAcentral's name for it is "lncRNA (ENSFDAG00000029682.1)". The record is from RNAcentral. Lineage: Eukaryota; Metazoa; Chordata; Mammalia; Rodentia; Bathyergidae.